GUGCUCACUUUAGCAGCACAUAUACUAAAAUUGGAUCAACAGAGAUUAGCAUGCCCCCUGUGCAAGGAUGACAGCCAAUUUGUAUUCCAUAUUUUU
Ochotona princeps (American pika) is the source of this 96-nucleotide small nuclear RNA. NCBI's taxonomy places the organism in Eukaryota, Metazoa, Chordata, Mammalia, Lagomorpha, Ochotonidae. The record is from Ensembl.